RNAcentral lists this ribosomal RNA (1655 nucleotides) under Escherichia coli. RNAcentral's name for it is "partial 23S ribosomal RNA". It matches the Rfam family "Bacterial large subunit ribosomal RNA", at positions 1292 to 2925 of the family's 2925-position model. Lineage: Bacteria; Pseudomonadati; Pseudomonadota; Gammaproteobacteria; Enterobacterales; Enterobacteriaceae. The record is from RNAcentral.
GAAUGCUGACAUAAGUAACGAUAAAGCGGGUGAAAAGCCCGCUCGCCGGAAGACCAAGGGUUCCUGUCCAACGUUAAUCGGGGCAGGGUGAGUCGACCCCUAAGGCGAGGCCGAAAGGCGUAGUCGAUGGGAAACAGGUUAAUAUUCCUGUACUUGGUGUUACUGCGAAGGGGGGACGGAGAAGGCUAUGUUGGCCGGGCGACGGUUGUCCCGGUUUAAGCGUGUAGGCUGGUUUUCCAGGCAAAUCCGGAAAACCAAGGCUGAGGCGUGAUGACGAGGCACUACGGUGCUGAAGCGACAAAUGCCCUGCUUCCAGGAAAAGCCUCUAAGCAUCAGGUAACAUCAAAUCGUACCCCAAACCGACACAGGUGGUCAGGUAGAGAAUACCAAGGCGCUUGAGAGAACUCGGGUGAAGGAACUAGGCAAAAUGGUGCCGUAACUUCGGGAGAAGGCACGCUGAUAUGUAGGUGAAGCGACUUGCUCGUGGAGCUGAAAUCAGUCGAAGAUACCAGCUGGCUGCAACUGUUUAUUAAAAACACAGCACUGUGCAAACACGAAAGUGGACGUAUACGGUGUGACGCCUGCCCGGUGCCGGAAGGUUAAUUGAUGGGGUUAGCGGCAACGCGAAGCUCUUGAUCGAAGCCCCGGUAAACGGCGGCCGUAACUAUAACGGUCCUAAGGUAGCGAAAUUCCUUGUCGGGUAAGUUCCGACCUGCACGAAUGGCGUAAUGAUGGCCAGGCUGUCUCCACCCGAGACUCAGUGAAAUUGAACUCGCUGUGAAGAUGCAGUGUACCCGCGGCAAGACGGAAAGACCCCGUGAACCUUUACUAUAGCUUGACACUGAACAUUGAGCCUUGAUGUGUAGGAUAGGUGGGAGGCUUUGAAGUGUGGACGCCAGUCUGCAUGGAGCCGACCUUGAAAUACCACCCUUUAAUGUUUGAUGUUCUAACGUUGGCCCGUAAUCCGGGUUGCGGACAGUGUCUGGUGGGUAGUUUGACUGGGGCGGUCUCCUCCUAAAGAGUAACGGAGGAGCACGAAGGUUGGCUAAUCCUGGUCGGACAUCAGGAGGUUAGUGCAAUGGCAUAAGCCAGCUUGACUGCGAGCGUGACGGCGCGAGCAGGUGCGAAAGCAGGUCAUAGUGAUCCGGUGGUUCUGAAUGGAAGGGCCAUCGCUCAACGGAUAAAAGGUACUCCGGGGAUAACAGGCUGAUACCGCCCAAGAGUUCAUAUCGACGGCGGUGUUUGGCACCUCGAUGUCGGCUCAUCACAUCCUGGGGCUGAAGUAGGUCCCAAGGGUAUGGCUGUUCGCCAUUUAAAGUGGUACGCGAGCUGGGUUUAGAACGUCGUGAGACAGUUCGGUCCCUAUCUGCCGUGGGCGCUGGAGAACUGAGGGGGGCUGCUCCUAGUACGAGAGGACCGGAGUGGACGCAUCACUGGUGUUCGGGUUGUCAUGCCAAUGGCACUGCCCGGUAGCUAAAUGCGGAAGAGAUAAGUGCUGAAAGCAUCUAAGCACGAAACUUGCCCCGAGAUGAGUUCUCCCUGAGACUUAGAGUCUCCUGAAGGAACGUUGAAGACGACGACGUUGAUAGGCCGGGUGUGUAAGCGCAGCGAUGCGUUGAGCUAACCGGUACUAAUGAACCGUGAGGCUUAACCUU